UACUAGAGUAGCACUCGCAUAUCAAUAAGCGGAGGAAAAGAAACUAACAAGGAUUCCCCUAGUAACGGCGAGUGAAGCAGGAAGAGCUCAAAUUUGAAAUCUUAAAGGGUUUCCCUUUACGAAUUGUAGUUUAAAGAAGUGUUUUCUGUUGAGGUUUUGGUAAAAGUUCUUUGGAAUAGGACAUCAUAGAGGGUGAGAAUCCCGUAUUUGACCUUUACUUUCAACUUUGUGAUACACUUUCAAAGAGUCGGAUUGUUUGGGAAUGCAGUCCAAAAUGGGUGGUAAAUUUCAUCUAAAGCUAAAUAUUGGCGAGAGACCGAUAGCGAACAAGUACCGUGAGGGAAAGAUGAAAAGAACUUUGAAAAGAGAGUUAAACAGUACGUGAAAUUGUCAAAAGGGAAGCGUUUGACACCAGUGUUAUUUUUCUGAAAAUCAAUUAAAGAACUGUUUAUGCUAAGUUGUUUAGACUUUAUCAGCUAUCUGUUUAGUUUUGAGCUUUUCUUUAAUGCACUUUUCAGUUAACAAGUCAACAUCAAUUUCUUUUGCUGUAAAAAAGCUUGAGGAAGGUGGAUUGAGAUUCGUCUUAAGUGUUUAUAGCCUCUUGCCUAUGCAGUCGGAGAGAUUGAGGUCUGCAGCGUAGAUCCUUCGGGGCUAAAUGCAGUUUGUGCUAAGUUAUAGCAUUUUAUAGACAACUUGUUGACUAUGAUUUGUCUUGUAGCUUACUCGCUUAUGUUAUUUUACCUACGCUUAGGAUGUUGAGCGCAUGUCUCUCUCU
This 775-nucleotide ribosomal RNA is filed under the name uncultured Neocallimastigales. RNAcentral describes it as "partial large subunit ribosomal RNA". It matches the Rfam family "Eukaryotic large subunit ribosomal RNA", at positions 20 to 616 of the family's 3401-position model. The record is from RNAcentral. Lineage: Eukaryota; Fungi; Neocallimastigomycota; Neocallimastigomycetes; Neocallimastigales.